RNAcentral lists this transfer RNA (75 nucleotides) under Phragmitibacter flavus. Its description in RNAcentral is "Verrucobacter flavum tRNA-Glu". It matches the Rfam family "tRNA". From Rfam's summary of the family: Transfer RNA (tRNA) molecules are approximately 80 nucleotides in length. The record is from RNAcentral. Lineage: Bacteria; Pseudomonadati; Verrucomicrobiota; Verrucomicrobiia; Verrucomicrobiales; Verrucomicrobiaceae.
GACCCCUUCGUCUAGUGGUUAGGACACAUCCCUUUCACGGAUGUGACACGGGUUCGAGUCCCGUAGGGGUCGCCA